Neomonachus schauinslandi (Hawaiian monk seal) is the source of this 369-nucleotide long non-coding RNA. RefSeq lists it as uncharacterized. The transcript is spliced from 3 exons. Lineage: Eukaryota; Metazoa; Chordata; Mammalia; Carnivora; Phocidae. The record is from RefSeq and is a predicted model, not a curated record.
GGACAGAGCACCGGAAGCGCCUGCGGUGCUGUGUGGGCUUCUACGAGAGCCGGGGCACCUGUGUCCCGCUCUGCGGCCAGGAGUGCGUCCACGGCCACUGUGUGGCUCCCGAUCGGUGCCAGUGCGCGCAGGGCUGGCGGGGCGGCGACUGCUCCAGUGCGUGUGCCCCAGGCACGUGGGGGCCUCAGUGUGACAAGCCCUGCCACUGCGGGAACAGCAGCUCCUGUGACCCCAAGAGUGGAGCCUGCCUCUGCCCCUCCGGCCUGCAGCCCCCACGCUGCCUCCAGCCCUGCCCCUCCGGCCAGUUCGGUCCUGCCUGUCAGUUACCCUGCCAGUGCCAGGGAGCGCCCUGCGACCCCCGGACCGGAG